GAGUGAACAGGCAAGAGCUCAGAUUUGAAAGGCACUUUUGUGCCGUUGUAUUCUGAAGUUAGGGUCCUGAGAAACGAUGCUUAAGUCUUCUGGAAAGGAGCGCCAUGGAGGGUGAUAGCCCCGUCUAGCAUUGACCUCAUAUAGGAUCUUAACAUGGAGUCGAGUUGUUUGGGAAUGCAGCUCAAAUGGGUGGUAUGCUCCAUCUAAAGCUAAAUAUCUGCGAGAGACCGAUAGUAAACAAGUACUGUGAGGGAAAGAUGAAAAGAACUUUGAAAAGAGAGUGAAAAAGUACGUGAAAUUGUUGAAAUGGAAGGGUAGGCCGCUAACCAUGUAGAGCCGUGUUUGGGGGGAAGAUAAAUGCUGUAGAAUGUAGCUCCUCGGAGUAUUAUAGAUGCAGUUCAUAUUCCCACCCGAGCGCGAGGAUCUCAGGUUCUACUAAAUGGUGGUCUACCACCCGUCUUGAACMMSGGACCCYAUGCCAUUUAGUAGAACCUGAGAUCCUC
RNAcentral lists this ribosomal RNA (503 nucleotides) under Starmerella bacillaris. RNAcentral describes it as "partial large subunit ribosomal RNA". The record is from RNAcentral. Lineage: Eukaryota; Fungi; Ascomycota; Dipodascomycetes; Dipodascales; Trichomonascaceae.